Molecule: long non-coding RNA, 2365 nt
Filed under: Lynx pardinus (Iberian lynx)
Lineage: Eukaryota; Metazoa; Chordata; Mammalia; Carnivora; Felidae
Source: RNAcentral
UUGGCAGCAAAGCAGCUGGGGGCCAUUUUGUCAAGAAGUACUCCUUUGGAGAAAAACAAAACAAAACAAAAGGCAUACAGGUGCACGCCAGUGUCCUCAUAAUAAACUAUAACAAAGGUGGCAAUUAAGUUCCAUUAGGGGCAGACAGCUUUAAAUUAGAUAAUGUAUUCAGAAAGCAUUCUAUAAACUGCGGAGUGUGAGAAUGUGAAGCAUUAUUAUUAUUAUCCUUAUUUCUGCAAAAUUGCCCGGAUUGCUAUGCCUGCCAAGGCCAGUUAAAGGGCCAGGGGAUAGAGAAGACCAAAUGAGUAGCUCUCUGGGGAGAGGAGACAGAGGCGAAAGGGUUAAGCUCCCCAGAACACCAACGUAUGCAAAGGGUUAGAUCCCAACCGGUUUUCAGGCCAGCGCUGAGAUCUGAAUUACAAAUUUACAGAAUUUGCUGCUCAGUAAUUUUUUUUUUUUCCUCCCCUAAUGGCGCCUGUUAAUUUCCAGUUGGCCACUUUGUGUUCACUGAUGGCAUGAGGAAGGUCUAGCAUGCAGAGACGUAUUUCUACUCCCCGUGCGGACCCCCUUUUAAGAAGGCUUCAAAAGGGACAUGCAGAGGAUGCUUAAAACCCACCCUCAUCAUUCUUACCAUUCUGCAAAGCGCAUGCCCUGCGUCUGCGGCUUGGGUGAGUUAAUAAUCGAAAUCAUCUUCCUUUCCAAAACUGUCUUUAAAGUAGGAAGGCUAGCUGAUUUACCUUUUUGUGGCUUAAGAUCCACGUGGGACUAUUUGGCCUAAGAAGUGGCGUUUGUCAGGUCCGGAUUGUAGAAAUCUGUUCCCUUCUGGGGGUGGGGGGGCAGACGGAGAAGGAGCCAGCGGGACACAGAUUCCAGUCUCUUGGAGUCUGAUUUAAUGGGGCUCCAUUGCCAUUGCCUCUGGACUGUUUGCAAGCAAACAAGGACAGUCCAGCUCAAGCGUGUGCGUGUGUGUGUGUGUGUUGAAAUCCUGGGUAGCUUGCUCCAAGAAAAGAGCAGGGGGAAUGCAACAAAAACCGAAGAACUUAACUUUCUUUCUCUUUUCCCUCCGUUUUUGGCACUUCUUUAGGCAUGCCUCCCCUCCCCUGGAUGAUGAAUUCACGAGGGACCUCAUGGGCUGCUGAGAACAAGCACGCUUUUGAAUGAACUCUUUUACGGGUAUCAGUCCAAAAGUCACCAUCAGCUGCAACUGAAAAGCAGAGUGGGUUUUGUUUUUGUUUUUGUUUUGUUUUUGUUUUUGUUUUUCCCCCAGUGGCGGCCAGUUCGGCUCAAAAGCUCAGUUCUUGGAAGGGCCACUUCUUCUUGCCACUGGAGAAGACACACCUCCCUGUGCACCUAAAAAUAAAAAGUAAAUAAAUAAAUGAGUUUGUAAAUUUUUAACGAGGUCCCUCCGGCCCCUCCUGCAGGCCAUAAUUCCCUUUCAGUUUCAGAGAGUGUGUUUCGUGUCUCCACGUGCACAGCUCUGCCUUCCAAGUGGCCCUUCUGGGCUCCGCAGUUUGAGGAACUUGGGUCCCUCAAGGCUCUUUGAGACCCCAGAGCCUUCUCCUGAGCUCAUCUGAGGAGUCUCUGCUCUUUUUCACAGGAGUUCAGCGGGAGGCGUGGAAAUUAGUAUUGUCUGUAAACGCACCAGGAAUGAGCUCUCAACUAAAAAACAAAACAAAAUACACCACACACACACACACACACACACACACAAAGCAAACCCUCAAAACUCAAAAAUGGGGUUUUAACGCGCUUCUGAGGCUACUACUAGAUUUCAAAUCUCCCAAACAAGUCAUUUUCCGAGUCUACUCUGGCUUCAGUUUUCUUGCCUUUUAAAUAACAAAAAAACCAAAGCAAUUUCAUUAAAAGAUUGCUCUCUCUUUUUUUUUUGGCCAGGACGAUAUGAAACUGUUACAGAAAGAGUUGGGUUUGCAGAGAGGUUCUCAGCAAAGAACUCAUUUAAGAUUUUUUUAAAAUCCAGGGAGGUGGGGGGGAUGGGAGGAGGGCCCCUUCUGCAUUAGUGACUCAGCCCUGCCUGGGGGCAUUUCUCAUCAGGGCAAAAAGCCCCUGUGCCCAGCGAGGUGAAACUUGCAAAUGAAACUGUCACCUUUCUCAAUGGACGACUAUGGCCCAGAGCUCACCAAAGGUCACACUAGGCGCCCCCCCUGGUGUUUGGGGACAAAGGAAUAAACAGCUGCCUGGCCCUGUGUUCUAUGAUGAUGUUGGUGGAGGAAAGUCACCCAGCCAGUAAGGGCUUCCCCAAAGGACUUUUUCCUGAUUUGCGCCAAGUUAAGCAUUCAGACAGGAGGCGGCAUGAGGUCAUUCUCAACCGGGUGAGUCACAGACACUGAUCUCCAGGUUGGAGCAG